RNAcentral lists this ribosomal RNA (250 nucleotides) under uncultured prokaryote. Its description in RNAcentral is "partial 16S ribosomal RNA". It matches the Rfam family "Bacterial small subunit ribosomal RNA", at positions 524 to 772 of the family's 1533-position model. The record is from RNAcentral.
UACGGAGGGUGCGGGCGUUAUUCGGAAUUACUGGGUUUAAAGGGUGCGUAGGCGGCUAAGUAAGUUGUCAUUGAAAGGCUACAGCUCAACUGUAGUAGUGGUGGCGAUACUGCUUAGCUAAGAACAUGGGAGGGGUACUUGGAAUGUGUGGUGUAGCGGUGAAAUGCGUAGAUAUCACACAGAACACCAGAGGCGAAGGCGGAGUACUAGACCAUAGUUGACGCUGAGGCACGAAAGCGUGGGGAUCAAA